CAGAGAAUAGUUAAUAUAGAAUAGUAAGUUUGGGGCUUAUAGGAGAGACAAUCUUUUCUGA
RNAcentral lists this transfer RNA (61 nucleotides) under Pseudoniphargus sp. 1-Murcia. RNAcentral describes it as "tRNA-Pro". Lineage: Eukaryota; Metazoa; Arthropoda; Malacostraca; Amphipoda; Allocrangonyctidae. The record is from RNAcentral.